GAUGAACGCUGGCGGCGUGCUUAACACAUGCAAGUCGAACGGAAGGGCGCUGCUUGGGUUGGGGGCUCGAGGGGCGAACGGGUGAGUAACACGUGAGUAACCUGCCCUGGACUGUGUGGUAACUUGAGGGAACUGGGGCUAAUACAUAAGAGGUGCUCCUGCUGCAUGGGGGGGGUUGGACAUUGUGGGCGGGGGGGGGUGGAUUGGCGGUUUAUCAGCUUGUUGGUUGGGUAGCGGCCUACGAAGGCCUAGACGGGUAGCCUGCCUGAGAGGGUGACCGGGCACCAGGGGCCUGCGAUACGGAGCAGAGUGGUACGGGAGGCAGCAGUGGGGAACAUUGCCCAAUAAGCGGAAGCCUGAUGCAGCAACGCCGGGUGCGGGAUGACGGCCUUCGGGUAGUGAACAGGAUUGGCCUGUGACGAAGCGUGAGUGACGGUACCGGGAAAAGAAGCACCGGCUAACUACGUG
This 468-nucleotide ribosomal RNA is filed under the name uncultured bacterium. RNAcentral's name for it is "partial 16S ribosomal RNA". It matches the Rfam family "Bacterial small subunit ribosomal RNA", at positions 28 to 507 of the family's 1533-position model. The record is from RNAcentral.